GUCAAGAAACACUCAUUAAUUACACAGACAGGAGUUUUCCCAAGCAAGAGUCAUUCAUCAGCUGCUGAGUUACAUGACUGCUGCUUGAUAACGUGUCAACACUCUGACGUCACAGAUCGGCAUGUGCUUGAGUGAUACCUAGACGCCUAAUUGGCCGCUCGACCGCACGUCAACGUCGCCGCCAUAUUGGAGCGGGCAACUCUCAUAACUCUCACAUCAGGAAUGAAGAAAACAUACCAGACUCAUCGACAGAUUAGACACCUACAAACCGUCACACGAUAAUAAAAACUGAUUUUGGGGUGUUAUCUUUCACGGCCAUUUGCAAACAGGACAAGGACAGCCUUAAGGAAAGCUCAGGAAACCUGUUCUCAGAGACGAGACUAUACCUCCCUAGACUAGUGUUGUGUUUGUACUAGUGCUGUCAAAAUUAGCGCGUUAACGCAUUCGAUUAAUUUGAAAUAUUUAACGCGUUAAAAAAAAAUAACGCAAUUAACGCGGUUGCAGUUUUUUUUAUUUCCAGUUGUGGCCUAUGUGUGUUCAACGUGCAAAGAAAUAUGGAUAAGACCAAGGAAGGACUUUUAGACGGAAAGUUUCAGUAUAAAACUCUGCCGGAUUACUCUUCAGUCUGCCACAAGAAACAUUACUCUUCAUUUAGUCUGCCACAAGAAACAGCAACAUUAAAAUCAUGAACUCAAAUAUCAUUGUUUAAAAAAAAAACAAAAAAACAAUGACUGUAACAGUGCGUGAAUCAGACCUUUCUGUUACGCUAACGUUAAUAAGCUUAAGCGAAAAUAACGAAAUAAUUGUGUAGCGGAGUAUUUUUUGUACACAGUGCCGCGAACUGUCAAUCACUCCUGUACGCGUGCAUCACUGUCCUCCUCAGCUGCAGCAACUUGCGCUCUCUCUCUUCAUCAAGCUUUACAACAAAAAGGGUACAAAAAGAUCAUAUUGUCUUUGUGCAUAGGCUAUAGAUUAAUUAGAUAAAUGAAUAUCUAAAUGUGUGCCUUUCCGUCUACGGUAUUUUUUUAGAACUUAGAAAAAAGAUGCUGCAGCCAAUGAGCAGCCAGCGGGGGCUGCAGGACGACUCAACCUCCGCAGACAGUUUGUAAUGUUUAUCAGACAAUAAAUACUCAAGAUUUUGCUUUAGUAUAACUCACAACGAGUUUCACACACCUUCUCCGGCCACGUUGAGUUGUUGACACUUAACAGUGGGAAAAGCGACACAUGCGCUAUUCACUUGUAUAACUUAAGGGUGAAUGGGUAAUGUAGUUUCUGCUCUGGGUCGGAUGAAUUAGGAAGCUUGCAUUGUGAAGGGCGCUCUGAAAACCAGCAGUGCAGGUAAAAGAUUAAAACCUCUAUUAAAACAGAUGUCCAAAUGAGCGUACCGGUACGCUACAAGCACGUUCUGGGCGCACGGAGAGGUGGCGGUACGCUCAAGAGCUAUAUUUGGAAGUGGCGGUACUGAGUACUGGUGCGUACAGGCCCACUUAAAGCACUGGCAAUGACUAUACUUUGGAAUUUUUUUGCAGUCCACUUAGAAUUCAACAUGGAAAUCAUUUUUGUUUUUUAUUGGCAUUGAUUGUUUUGAAAUUCAAAUGAUACUUACAUGCCUGUGUUUUUAUUUCUGUAAUAAAUAUGGCUUUCAAGCCAACAGUUAAUUUGGAGGAUAUUGAUGGUUUAUUGCAGGUAUGUUGUAGGUACAUGAGAAAAUCUGUGUUACAAGUUAAACAAAAAUUCCAAUAAACAAUCAUAUUUUGAAUUUAAAUAGUUUCUUUGUCUUGAGUUUACAUUAAUUAUUUACAUUUUACAUUUACAUAUCCAAAAAGUUUCAGUCUUUUAAUUGCGAUUAAUCGCGAUUAAUCGCGAUUAAUUUUAAAAAAUUGUGCGAUUAAUUAGUUAAUUUUUUUUAAUCGAUUGACAGCACUAGUUUGUACUAAACCCAGAGCAGCCCUGAAUGAAUCGACAGAAUGACCCAGCUCAUAUUCUAAAGCGAUUAAUUGUUUGAAAGCAUUAAUUUAUACCAGAAAACAAGACAGAAAUACUAAGGAAGAAAAUCUCUGCAUUAAUCACUUAAUCGUUUGAUUCUGAUUAAUUCAGACAUUUCUAAUAGCUCGCUCCGAAGCUCUGAUCAAAUGAUUCGCGAAACGCGCAUUCAAAUGAAUCGCGAGGUUAGUGAGGCGGUGUUUUUAUACUUUUACCAUCACCCUUUUAUACUGCUCUCUUUCUGGCUUAAGUCACACAGAAUUAAAAAAGAAAUUUAAAGUUAUCAAUAAAAUCCACAACAAUGUAGGAAGUACGAGCAGUUGAACAAACAUCUGUUGUACAAGCAGAAUUCAAAUUAUUUUAUAAUGGUUUGUAGGUUAUUUAACUUUGAAUUGAUGUUCUAAGUAACUGGUAUAUUAUUGCAUAAAUGUGAUAGUAACUUUCCAAAUUAAUGAGUUGUUUUUAUUAAAGUGUUAUAUGUUUAACAAAAAAUAAUACAUGUAUUGUUGUUUGCUUUAUGUUAAUUAAGUGCUCUUGCUGAGGCAUGGGAAAAAUAAAGGAGCUGGAAAAAACACCUGCUAGUGACAUCAGCAUCAUCUACACAUGCUAGUGACAUCAGCAUCAUCUACACACAUGCUAGUUACAUCAUGCUCCUCCUCACCUUCUAGUGGCAUCAGCAUCAUCUACACACCUGCUAGUGACAUCAGCAUCAUCUACACACCUGCUAGUGACAUCAGCAUCAUCUACACACAUGCUAGUGACAUCGGCAUCAUCUACUCACUUGCUAGUGACGUCAUGCUCCUCCUCACCUGCUAGUGACACCAUGCUUCUCUUCAACUGUUAGUAACUUGUCUGCUUUGUGAUAAGCAAAUUUUGCUAUCUUCCAAUUCUGAACACAUCAGAAAUCACCAACCUCUCCUGACAUAUCUUUCCAGUUUGGGUUUUGCGUGGUCCCUGAUGAACUCAACGUGGGAUGCCUUUCCGAUUUCUUUCACAUCAGGGCACGUAACCUCUACCAGGCCACAGAGAUGUUCUUCAUUUGGGUCCACCACUUUGCCAUCUGCACCAACCAAGAUGUGGAGCAUCAGGGUGGAUGAUGAGACCAGAUGGAAGAAUGUUAACGUCAAAGGUCUCCUCAUAGCGGUGAAGAACCACUGGCUCAAGUUUUAAUCCUCUACACAUCGCUCUCUAGAGACCCCGACAGAUGUUUACACAUACUGUUUAAUGCAAGAUAUAAAUGCGGUUAACCUGCAAUUACAAAUGCAUAAUGUUUUGAUGUCUUAAUCCCAAAAUGUUGAAUACUGAUAUUUGCAUUAAUAAAAGAACGUGCUUUAAGAGGUGAAAUUAAAAACACCAAUAUCUAGACAAUCAUGAAUUGUAACAUCACUUCCUUUAAUGUUUUUACUAUACAGCUGAUAUGGAAUUUGUUUAAAUGUUACAUUUUUGAAAAAAAAAAAAAUGUUAAAUGUUUAUAUGAAAUGCUUAUACAAAAUAAGUCUGUAGUUAACUUUAAAGUAUAUCUACAUUUCUUGCUUUCAUACAUGGUCAUAUAAAAAUUUGCCGAACUUAAGUGGUAGAUUUCUGCCAUUUACUGGAAAACAUUUAAAAUUACAAUUUUAACAAAAGCACUAUAUGAGCAUUCUGAGUGAUUUUAUUACACUAAUAUACAAUCAGACACCCCAAUUUCUGUUUUGAUAAAGUCAUUAAGUGUCAUGUCAUUUAGAUGAAUUAGAAUUUAAUUUAGGGUCCUGAAAGACCCUGAACACUGCACACAGGUUAAGAUGACCAUUGCUACAUAAAUAAAAUAAAAAUUGAAACUCA
This is a long non-coding RNA of Carassius gibelio (silver crucian carp), 3804 nucleotides long. RefSeq lists it as uncharacterized. The record is from RefSeq and is a predicted model, not a curated record. The transcript is spliced from 5 exons. NCBI's taxonomy places the organism in Eukaryota, Metazoa, Chordata, Actinopteri, Cypriniformes, Cyprinidae.